CAGAUUCUGCGAUGCCAAAGACCAAUGCUAAAAUUAGUCGGAAGUAGCUGGAGUGCGGAAGAAGCUAAAAAUGCAGCUAAACUUUUGUUCACGCGCAUUCUAUGUAUGCUAACGGUGGGCCUCACAGCUUGACGUGGUGAACUGUGACGAUGGGGUUAAAACACCAGCUGUCUUCUCUUUGAUGAUUUCCGCCAAAGGUCUGGCGGAGAAUCCGGAUUUGUCGCUUCACAGUAUCCUACCAGUUAUGUUACGGUGUACGAUGUAUGAAUUCACAAACAUUGAAUGCUUGACAGAGAGUGAAUCGUUUCCGAUGCGAGGGAAAUGAUGGUAAGCACUUUCCUUGUGCCCCUUAUCGCAUUCCAACUGCACGGCCCUUUAUCUCAAGCUGCCUUGCUCGGGCAUCGAGGAUGUUUAGUCUACCUAUUAUAUGAUGAUCAGGACGCUAGCCGCUUGGCACCCAGAUGCCUAGAGGCCGAGUCAUAUAACUCGCGAGAGUGCGUAUUAUCAUCAGGGCACUUCCCAUCAGAUAAAUAACGAAGUGUACGAGGACGCUCUACACUUGUAUCACCACGUGUUCGAUGAGACAAUUAUUACAUCUUUAUUUUCCAAUAAACAAUAAGUAAGCCACGUGCGUCACCCGUGGUUGACCAUCACUAACGUAUAGACAAAUAUCAAGCAGGCUUUUUAUACCGUAAGGCUUUUCCCUGACGAGCCAAUAAAGUAUUAUACCUUGUAGUAUUGGCUC
Polistes canadensis is the source of this 745-nucleotide long non-coding RNA. RefSeq lists it as uncharacterized. The transcript has 3 exons. NCBI's taxonomy places the organism in Eukaryota, Metazoa, Arthropoda, Insecta, Hymenoptera, Vespidae. The record is from RefSeq and is a predicted model, not a curated record.